GAAGCACUGGCCUCACUGCACAUUUACCCUUAUUCUGCCUACAGCGAACACACAGAGUUAGGGCUGCAUGUGACUGGCCACAUGACCUCAGAGCAUCUGACUGCAAAUGCAUCAAGGACUUUUUUCACACCAUGGCAGGAUUUCAGAGAUCUCCAGUAAGCAAGAGAGCAAGUUAUUAUGUGCCUUGCCUUAGGAGAGAAGACACAAUCA
Non-coding RNA from Leptonychotes weddellii (Weddell seal), 210 nucleotides. NCBI's taxonomy places the organism in Eukaryota, Metazoa, Chordata, Mammalia, Carnivora, Phocidae. The record is from RefSeq and is a predicted model, not a curated record.